AUACGUAGGGUGCAAGCGUUAAUCGGAAUUACUGGGCGUAAAGCGUGCGCAGGCGGUUUUGUAAGACAGUGGUGAAAUCCCCGGGCUCAACCUGGGAACUGCCCUUGUGACUGCAAGGCUGGAGUGCGGCAGAGGGGGAUGGAAUUCCGCGUGUAGCAGUGAAAUGCGUAGAUAUGCGGAGGAAAACCGAUGGCGAAGGCAAUCCCCCGGGCCUGCACUGACGCUCAUGCACGAAAGCGUGGGGAGCAAACAGGAUUAGAUACCCUGGUAGUCCACGCCCUAAACGAUGUCAACUGGUUGUUGGGGAUUUAUUUUCUCAGUAACGAAGCUAACGCGUGAAGUUGACCGCCUGGGGAGUACGGCCGCAAGGUUAAAACUUAAAGGAAUUGACGGGG
This 395-nucleotide ribosomal RNA is filed under the name uncultured bacterium. RNAcentral describes it as "partial 16S ribosomal RNA". It matches the Rfam family "Bacterial small subunit ribosomal RNA", at positions 523 to 918 of the family's 1533-position model. The record is from RNAcentral.